RNAcentral lists this non-coding RNA (45 nucleotides) under Schistosoma mattheei. The record is from RNAcentral. Lineage: Eukaryota; Metazoa; Platyhelminthes; Trematoda; Strigeidida; Schistosomatidae.
GUCCAACUGACGAGUCCCAAAUAGGACGAAACACGCGUCCUGGAU